ACUAUAAAAUCGCUAUUCUCUAGAAAAACGGAGACAACGAAGGUGCCAAACCUCUUUGACCUUCAUUAUAUGUUAGUGAAGGAUGCAAAUAUGCAUUAAAAUAGAAUUUUCAUUUUUUUUUAUUUUUUCUCAAAAUCUAUGGGUUAACCCCUACGAAAAUAUUUAAUUUUUCGGUAAAUACUCUAUAUACUGAAGCCUAUAACCUUUUGUGAAGUUUUAAAAACUUUAAAUACAUUCUACAUUUGUAUUAAUGUAUAUUAAACUUUCUUUCAAGGUACAUGGGCAACAUUUAAACUUUUUGUUAAUUAAUUUAGUAAAACUUCAUAAUACUCCCUCAAUGGGUUGACAAACCACUAUAAAAUCGCUAUUCUCUAGAAAAACGUAGACAACCAAGGUUCCAA
RNAcentral lists this long non-coding RNA (401 nucleotides) under Brassica rapa (field mustard). Its description in RNAcentral is "long non-coding RNA (BRAP_LNC005591)". The record is from RNAcentral. Lineage: Eukaryota; Viridiplantae; Streptophyta; Magnoliopsida; Brassicales; Brassicaceae.